This 1409-nucleotide unclassified non-coding RNA is filed under the name Hevea brasiliensis (rubber tree). The record is from RNAcentral. Lineage: Eukaryota; Viridiplantae; Streptophyta; Magnoliopsida; Malpighiales; Euphorbiaceae.
GGAAAUAUAGUAUAUACCAAGAAUUUCGUUGUUUCUAAAGCUCGAACUAGAAACCUCUGGUUAAACAUGAGGUCAAUAGCAAAGGAGUGAAAAUAUCGAUCCGAAACAAAAAAUAAAGAAAAAAAUGGAAGGAAGUAUAACUUUAUAAUACCCUAUUUUAUAAGCCCUUUACAUAAUUCUCAGAACUGAGGUUUAUUUAGUUGCAAGGAAUGGAGGAAAAAUGAAGAUUAAGAACAAUUGCUGUAAUAGAUGUUAGAAAACACGACGUUCCUCGAUCUCCCGAGCAGAUUCACACAUGGAAGAGACCGAUAAAUCCAGUGGUAAUCACGGUUUCAUUAACGUUUUCUUUAUAUAAUCCAGAACUUCGUCCACAUCAACUGUCCACGCAACUGAAACCGGGGAAUAAUCUGUCCAAGGAUUGCUCGUAUUCCACUUCUUUAGCCCUUGGUCCAUUAAGGUGUGUCCAACGCAGAUGCCUUGUGUCUCAACCCUCACGACGCCCUUCUUGAAGGUGAAAAGUUCAGGCCAAACUAGUGCAGCAAAGCUAACAGGAUCAUGUAGGAAAAUACCAUAGACACCGUCUGAUUUCACGUGCCAAUCACGGUAAAAUUUGCACAUAUCGCACACAAAUUUAGCGUAUUUUCCUUUGGAUUGCUUUAGUUCUUCAAGAUCAGCAUCUUUCAAUUUGACUUGAGUAGUAAUGUUGAUGCCGACAACAUCAAUAUUUGCCCCCGAUGUAAACACAACAUCAGCAGCCUCAGGGUCCCCAUAUAUAUUUGCUUCUGCGGCAGGAUUAACAUUUCCUAAAGCAAAGAAGGAACCACCGAGAACAACCACUCUCUUCACCUUGCUUGCAAAGGUUGAGUCCCUCUUGACAGCCAACGCCAAGUUUGUCAAUGGUCCCAGUGCAAGUAUCGACACUUCACCAGGAUAUUCAGAAACUUUUUCCACCAAGAAUUCAGAUGCAGACUUGUUGAUUUUCUUUGAGUUUGGAGAAGGUAAGAAUAAGUUGCCUAAUCCAUCUGAGCCAUGAACAAAGUCUGCAACACGUGGUUCCCCUCCCUUUAGAGGUUCAGGGCUACCCUCUGCCACGGGAACAUCCGGAUAUCCUGCAGCUUCACACAAAAGUAAAGCAUUUCGUGUAGCAUCUUUUGUGGUAACGUUGCCAAAGAUUGUAGUCAAGCCUAUGAUCUCAACUUCUGGUGUCUGAAAUGCCAUUAGUAUUGUCAUACUGUCAUCAAUACCAGGAUCAGUAUCAAUAAUAAUCUUUUCACGUUGCUUAGCAAAAGAAUUGUUGGAAUCCACCAAAUCACCAUCACAAAUCGACAUUCUUGAAAAGUUAUCAAGAAUUCAAAAGGGAAACUUUUUUGAAGAGAAAAGAAAAAAGGGGAAUCUUGGGACCUAUCAAG